CUUGGGAUGCUAGGUUGUAUGAUAAAUUUUGAUAUGUGUAUAUGUAUAUUUUAUGGGCCCAUUGCAUAAAAAUGUCAUGAGCAGCAAUUACGCCUCAUAUCGAGUAUCGGGGUAUUACAGAGAAGUCUCAUACCAGAAGGGGUUGGAAGGUAUAGUUCACCUUCAUACCGGAGGAGAUAUUGAAGCGAUGGUAUGUUUGGUGCCCAUUAUCGAACGGGGUAUGGGGAUAGCCGAUUGAUUAAUAAAUUGAAUAUU
This 255-nucleotide long non-coding RNA is filed under the name Carica papaya (papaya). RNAcentral describes it as "long non-coding RNA (CPAP_LNC012559)". Lineage: Eukaryota; Viridiplantae; Streptophyta; Magnoliopsida; Brassicales; Caricaceae. The record is from RNAcentral.